UUCCGGACUUGGUAAACUUUCUAAAUCUGAAUCGUACACUUUUUCUAGUGAAUCCAUGUCAUUAACCCCAAUUAAAAAGAACAUAAAAUAUAAUUUAAGCUGUAGUUUUUGUCAAACAUAAAAACUCCUAUUGGAAAUACAAAUAUUGUCAAGAAUCUAAACAAAUUUGAACAGCAACAUCAUAAGUUCUUCAGACAAAUCUGAUUUUUUUUUAAAAAACUCUUGGGAAACAAUUUUUUUUGAAAUUUGAUAUAUCCUUGAAACAAUCAUGUAUAAAUUACAAUAUCAUAUUCCUCCUUUUUCACUUAUAUAUUUUCCAUCCAAAACUUUUUUUUUUUGGGGGGCCUCUUUUGUAAACUUAUCUGUGAGCAGUGACCAACGUCUCUAUAAACCUCAAUCCAUCAAAUCUGGGC
This 413-nucleotide unclassified non-coding RNA is filed under the name Hevea brasiliensis (rubber tree). The record is from RNAcentral. Lineage: Eukaryota; Viridiplantae; Streptophyta; Magnoliopsida; Malpighiales; Euphorbiaceae.